GGCCUGUAGCUCAGUGGUAGUGCAUGAACUUAGCAUGCAUGAGGCUCUGGGUUCAAUCCCCAGCACCA
This 68-nucleotide transfer RNA is filed under the name Marmota monax (woodchuck). RNAcentral's name for it is "tRNA.Ala". The record is from RNAcentral. Lineage: Eukaryota; Metazoa; Chordata; Mammalia; Rodentia; Sciuridae.